This is a long non-coding RNA of Galeopterus variegatus (Sunda flying lemur), 601 nucleotides long. RefSeq lists it as uncharacterized. The transcript has 2 exons. The record is from RefSeq and is a predicted model, not a curated record. NCBI's taxonomy places the organism in Eukaryota, Metazoa, Chordata, Mammalia, Dermoptera, Cynocephalidae.
UCUUCGCCGGGAGGAGGGGCGGGUGGCCGACCGUCCUCGGGGGUGUUCGUUCGCGACCCAGGGACCGUGAGGCGCGGCUCGGGGGAGGCUGGAGCGCACAUGCCCGCCUGGCGGCUCGUGACUCAGCCGCCCCAUCCUCAGGAUUGCUGGUGGGCUGCAGGGAGGCCGCAGCAUCUUCCGGAGACUUGGCUUUCGGCUCUGACGUAGGGCUGAGGCGGCGAGCCCUGGAGGCCUGUGUGAGGUGGCCCGGACAAAACGCUUUGUAAUCUGAACAUCUUUCCUCCAGAGAUGACUGCCCCCUAGGAAGAAAUUUGGGGGAGGGCAGCGGCCUCCAGUUUGCCUUCACAGCUGACUGUGGACAGGAGUUGAGUUUGCUGAAACAGACUGGCAGCGAGGCCUACUCACUCCGCCCCAUUUCCCUUCCAGCGACUCAAUUCAGCAAUCCAAGCACCUAGAUGCCAGCACAAGUCGGUUAAUCUCUGUCUGGACUGAGCUCUGAACUGGAAUUUUGCAGCUAACCCAUCCAAGAUUAGAACUUUAGGUACUGGGGAGUUUCAAAUGGACUAAUUUUGUUUAUUAAAGAAUUGUUUUUUAAAAUGAA